AAUGAACGCUGGCGGUAGGCUUAACACAUGCAAGUCGGACGGAAACGAUGAAGUGCUUGCACUUCAGGCGUCGAGUGGCGGACGGGUGAGUAACGCGUGGGAAUCUACCCUAUAGUUGGGGACAACAUAUGGAAACGUAUGCUAAUACCGAAUGUGCUCUAAGGAGUAAAGGAGCCCUCUUCUUGAAAGGUUUCGCUAUAGGAUGAGCCCGCGUGAGAUUAGCUAGUGUAGGAAUGGCUUACAAGCAACGAUCUCUAGCUGGUUGAGAGGAUGAUCAGCCACACUGGGACUGAGACACGGCCCAGACUCCUACGGGAGGCAGCAGUGGGGAAUAUUGCACAAUGAGCGAAAGCUUGAUGCAGCCAUACCGCGUGUGUGAAGAAGGCCCGAGGGUUGUAAAAGCACUUUCCAAUUGUGAGGAAGAUAGUGUAGCGAAUAACUGC
Molecule: ribosomal RNA, 443 nt
Filed under: uncultured bacterium
Lineage: Bacteria
Description: bacterial SSU rRNA
Rfam family: Bacterial small subunit ribosomal RNA
Source: RNAcentral